UUACAUCGGUGACAGGUGGUGCAUGGUUGUCGUCAGCUCGUGUCGUGAGAUGUUGGGUUAAGUCCCGCAACGAGCGCAACCCCUAUUGUUAGUUGCCAUCAUUCAGUUGGGCACUCUAGCGAGACUGCCGGUAAUAAACCGGAGGAAGGUGGGGAUGACGUCAAAUCAUCAUGCCCCUUAUGACCUGGGCUACACACGUGCUACAAUGGUUGGUACAACGAGUUGCGAGUCGGUGACGGCGAGCUAAUCUCUUAAAGCCAAUCUCAGUUCGGAUUGUAGGCUGCAACUCGCCUACAUGAAGUCGGAAUCGCUAGUAAUCGCGGAUCAGCACGCCGCGGUGAAUACGUUCCCGGGCCUU
RNAcentral lists this ribosomal RNA (358 nucleotides) under uncultured Streptococcus sp. Its description in RNAcentral is "bacterial SSU rRNA". It matches the Rfam family "Bacterial small subunit ribosomal RNA", at positions 1023 to 1382 of the family's 1533-position model. The record is from RNAcentral. Lineage: Bacteria; Bacillati; Bacillota; Bacilli; Lactobacillales; Streptococcaceae.